Molecule: ribosomal RNA, 253 nt
Filed under: uncultured bacterium
Lineage: Bacteria
Description: partial 16S ribosomal RNA
Rfam family: Bacterial small subunit ribosomal RNA
Source: RNAcentral
UACGUAGGGCGCAAGCGUUGUCCGGAAUUAUUGGGCGUAAAGAGCUCGUAGGCGGCUUGUCACGUCGGUUGUGAAAUCGCCCGGCUCAACUGGGCGGGGUCAGCGGAUACGGCCGAGCUUGAGCAAGCUAGGGGGCAAUGGAAUUCCCGGUGUAGUGGUGGAAUGCGUAGAUAUCGGGAGGAACACCAGUGGCGAAGGCGGUUGCCUGGGGCUUUGCUGACGCUGAUGCGCGAAAGCGUGGGGAGCGAUCCGG